GCAGUUGUUUAGUUAGCGUCUUGAAUGAAAAGCCAAGGACAGAAUCCAAAGAAACUGCAGGCUUAUCUGUCCAAAACGCACCAGCCGGCAUGAUUCUUCGCUGGAAUGAACCACCACCUAUCUACCCGAUCCGAACUGAGCACAUUUCCACCUAUAGCACAAAGAAUGAGAAGCGCCGAUAUUUGUCAGCCAAGCGAUAGUUCAAGGCAUUAUAAAAUGAAGUGGCUGUCUACUGCUAUCAUUUUCACUCUGCUUUCUCUCACCUUAGAGUCUUCUCUAAAGUGUAAUUUGUGCACACCAGACGUAGACUGCAGCCCAAGCGAAGAUUGUUC
Polypterus senegalus (gray bichir) is the source of this 332-nucleotide long non-coding RNA. RefSeq lists it as uncharacterized. The record is from RefSeq and is a predicted model, not a curated record. Lineage: Eukaryota; Metazoa; Chordata; Cladistia; Polypteriformes; Polypteridae. The transcript is spliced from 3 exons.